AGAGUUUGAUCCUGGCUCAGAUUGAACGCUGGCGGCAUGCUUUACACAUGCAAGUCGGACGGCAGCACAGAGAAGCUUGCUUCUUGGGUGGCGAGUGGCGAACGGGUGAGUAAUAUAUCGGAACGUACCGAGUAAUGGGGGAUAACUAAUCGAAAGAUUAGCUAAUACCGCAUAUUCUCUGAGGAGGAAAGCAGGGGACCUUCGGGCCUUGCGUUAUUCGAGCGGCCAAUAUCUGAUUAGCUAGUUGGUGGGGUAAAGGCCUACCAAGGCGACGAUCAGUAGCGGGUCUGAGAGGAUGAUCCGCCACACUGGGACUGAGACGCGGCCCAGACUCCUACGGGAGGCAGCAGUGGGGAAUUUUGGACAAUGGGCGCAAGCCUGAUCCAGCCAUGCCGCGUGUCUGAAGAAGGCCUUCGGGUUGUAAAGGACUUUUGUCAGGGAAGAAAAGGACAGGGUUAAUACCUCUGUCUGAUGACGGUACCUGAAGAAUAAGCACCGGCUAACUACGUGCCAGCAGCCGCGGU
RNAcentral lists this ribosomal RNA (524 nucleotides) under unidentified oral bacterium AP60-58. Its description in RNAcentral is "bacterial SSU rRNA". It matches the Rfam family "Bacterial small subunit ribosomal RNA", at positions 8 to 521 of the family's 1533-position model. The record is from RNAcentral.